This 216-nucleotide unclassified non-coding RNA is filed under the name Hevea brasiliensis (rubber tree). The record is from RNAcentral. Lineage: Eukaryota; Viridiplantae; Streptophyta; Magnoliopsida; Malpighiales; Euphorbiaceae.
AGAGGACGUGGUUAGAGGGGGCAAGCGAGAUAGCAUCAGUGAAGUGUCUGACGGCUCCCGCAUAAUCGCCGGCUGAGAAUGCGGCGUUGCCUUUGGCUUUGGCUUCUUCGGCCAUGAACGGAAAGCUUCAGGAAGGACAGGAGUCGCAAGAGUAAGCUAGGGAUGGUUUUCGAAGAAAUGGCGAUCUGGGAGCAGUGAUUACAGAGAGAAGUAAGG